AUUGAACGCUGGCGGCAUGCCUUACACAUGCAAGUCGAACGGUAGCGGGCCUUCGGGUGCCGACGAGUGGCGAACGGGUGAGUAAUGCAUCGGAACGUGCCAUUGAGUGGGGGGAUAACGUAGCGAAAGUUACGCUAAUACCGCAUAUUCUGUGAGCAGGAAAGCAGGGGACCGCAAGGCCUUGCGCUCUUUGAGCGGCCGAUGUCAGAUUAGCUAGUUGGUGAGGUAAAGGCUUACCAAGGCGACGAUCUGUAGCGGGUCUGAGAGGAUGAUCCGCCACACUGGAACUGAGACACGGUCCAGACUCCUACGGGAGGCAGCAGUGGGGAAUUUUGGACAAUGGGGGCAACCCUGAUCCAGCCAUGCCGCGUGAGUGAAGAAGGCCUUCGGGUUGUAAGGUACUCUUUUCCGGUCCGGGGAACGGAAAUACGCAUGGGUGAAUACCCUGUGUGGAGUGACGGUACCGGAAC
This 470-nucleotide ribosomal RNA is filed under the name uncultured bacterium. Its description in RNAcentral is "bacterial SSU rRNA". It matches the Rfam family "Bacterial small subunit ribosomal RNA", at positions 30 to 484 of the family's 1533-position model. The record is from RNAcentral.